This 406-nucleotide ribosomal RNA is filed under the name uncultured bacterium. RNAcentral's name for it is "partial 16S ribosomal RNA". It matches the Rfam family "Bacterial small subunit ribosomal RNA", at positions 30 to 526 of the family's 1533-position model. The record is from RNAcentral.
AUUGAACGCUGGCGUCAGGCCUAACACAUGCCAGUCGAACGAGUGACGGAAUGGUGAGUAAUGUAUGGGAACAUGCCUGAUGGAGCGUGAUACCGACGGGAAACGUUAGCUAAUACCGCAUCCCAUCAGAUGUGCCCAGAUGGGAGUAGCUUGGUGGGGGGGUAACGGCUCACCAAGGCGACGAUCCCUAGCUGGUCUGAGAGGAGGACCAGCCACACUGGAACUGAGACACGGUCGAGACUCCUACGGGAGGCAGCAGGGGGGAAUAUUGCACAAUGGGCGCAAGCCUGAUGCAGCCAUGCCGCGUGUAUGAAGAAGGCCUUCGGGUUGUAAAGUACUUUCAGCGGGGAGGCGUUACCCGCAGAAGAAGCACCGGCUAACUCCGUGCCAGCAGCCGCGGUAAUUC